Molecule: non-coding RNA, 93 nt
Organism: Gossypium hirsutum (cotton)
Lineage: Eukaryota; Viridiplantae; Streptophyta; Magnoliopsida; Malvales; Malvaceae
Source: Rfam
UGGCUGAUGAGGAAAGCAAUUAUAAAAACACCAUCUUUCGGGACUGAAUGGCUUUAAAUAAAGCCUUGAUGUUAUUCUGCAAUUCUGAGGCCU